Molecule: long non-coding RNA, 1709 nt
Organism: Triticum aestivum (bread wheat)
Lineage: Eukaryota; Viridiplantae; Streptophyta; Magnoliopsida; Poales; Poaceae
Exons: 5
Source: RefSeq, a predicted model, not a curated record
CCCUCCCACUCUCUCGCUCGCUCAGCUCAGCCACUCGCUCGCUGGCUCCUGAACCCCUAGCUCACCGCCGCCGGUGCCUCUCCAUCGCAUGCGUCGCCGGCGCCUCUACCCUGCACGCAGCACCUCCGCCUCUCCCUCUCGCGUCGUUGCCGCCUUUCCAUGUUGCCAUAUGUCGUCGCCUCUCCCUCUUCAAGAUUUAAUUUUUACUCCAGCGGCUGGACCUGAAGUGCAACUGCUCCACCUUCCUCAGGGUGGAGGGGAUCUCCGAUGACUGGAUCUGAAGCGCGGCUGCUCCACCUUCCUCAUGGUGGCAGGGAUCUCCGGCUCGCUGCGCAGGGGAAGGGCCCGACCGCCGGCGGCCGCUGCGGGCACAAGGGGAACUGCGUUUGCGACAUUGUCAGCGUCGGUGUCCCAGGGACAGGGCACGGCGGCACGCAUUGUGGGCCCAUGCACAGGCACACCGUGCUGUUGCUGCCGUCCGCCAGCGCGCCGCUGGCCGACAGGAGCAGCCACACCCACGCGACCACGACAAGCAGAACCGUCGGCGGGUUCGUGUAGUCCCGCGAGGACCGCGCCGUGUGGGAUGCCGAGACGAGUUGCCGGAGAAGGAGUCUUCGACUACCUCACGUCCGCCGCUGGCCUGCACAUCAAUAGGAGGAGACUGAGCACCGUGUGGUGUUGGCGCCGAUUGAAAAUCACCAGCGAGUCCUACUUCAACUGCGAUGCAAUGUGGAGUGAAGUUGAGGUUUGGGAGAUCCAUUUUCUCCUAAAGAUAUGAAUAUGUAAGAUGAAGUAGAAGUAGAAGUACAAGAAGAAGAACAUAUAAAUUCAGUCUGUUUACUAUCAAUUGGUGUCUGUUUACUGUCAAAGCAAGAAUGACAAUUCAAAGGGACAUCAUGCUGAGGUGUACAAAGGACAGCUUGCUAAUGGAUAGUUUGUGGCAAUUCAAGCUUACUGUAUCCUGAAAUUCAAGCUUACUGUAUCCUUAUUUAACUGGAGUACAAUGUUGUAGCUUCACUUGUCUUCCAGUCAAAUACUCAUGUACUCCAGCUUUAACUGGAGUAGACCCCAACUUAAUCAUAAUCAAUUGUUGCCUGUGGUGCUAUAUUAGUUCCACCAAGUUGAUGGUUUCGUUAAGUUGCAUGUAUCCCGAAUUCAAGUAAAUUAAGUUGCCUGAACCAAGUUGAGUAUUUAACUUUUUUUUGAAAAGGGGGAUAACCCCCGGCCUCUGCAUCAGAAUGUUGCACGGGAAGCCGAGGCGGGUAAGCACCGCUGGUGGCUCUGCUGGGGCCGCCUUGGCGAUGCCUAUGCCAAGACCUUCUACCUCGUGUGAAAGAAAGAGAACUCGAGCCAAGGUGAUGGUGAUGGAAAUGAAUGAAAGAAAGAGAAGCUGGAGUGCCUACCACAAAGAUGAGCAGAAGCAGGGGAGUUCGCUGGGAUGGAGGCGCUGGUGGCCGUGGAGGAGGUGGGGGCGGAGGAGGAGUUGAGCGCUGGCCAGGGCUAGGCGGGGCAGGAGGUGAGCGCUGGCCUGGAGGAGCCCGAAAGAGAAGCAGGGGCGAUGAGGGGCUUGGCAGAGGGCCAAAGAGGAGCGCUGCCCUGGAGGAGCCCGGCGGAGGGGCAAAGAGGAGUGCUGGCCUGGAGGAGCCCAGCUAAGGGGCGCUGGCCUGAAGGAGCCUGACAAAGGGGCCUGGAGCAACCCUGCCUCGCGG